AAGUGAGGACAACCUCACCGCUCUUUCUCAGUUAGGGACGGCCCU
Molecule: non-coding RNA, 45 nt
Filed under: Thiopseudomonas alkaliphila
Lineage: Bacteria; Pseudomonadati; Pseudomonadota; Gammaproteobacteria; Pseudomonadales; Pseudomonadaceae
Description: Oblitimonas alkaliphila Guanidine-II sequence
Rfam family: Guanidine-II riboswitch aptamer (mini-ykkC)
About the family: Simpler in structure and has fewer highly conserved nucleotide positions than the ykkC-yxkD leader.
Source: RNAcentral